UACGGAGGGUGCAAGCGUUAUCCGGAUUCACUGGGUUUAAAGGGUGCGUAGGUGGCUUUGUAAGUCAGUGGUGAAAUAUUGCGGCUCAACCGCAAAACUGCCAUUGAUACUGCUUAGCUUGAAUCACGUCGAGGUGGAUGGAAUAAUACAUGUAGCGGUGAAAUGCUUAGAUAUGUAUUAGAACACCGAUUGCGAAGGCAGUUCACUAGGCGUGUAUUGACACUGAGGCUCGAAAGCGUGGGGAUCAAACAGG
Molecule: ribosomal RNA, 253 nt
Filed under: uncultured bacterium
Lineage: Bacteria
Description: partial 16S ribosomal RNA
Rfam family: Bacterial small subunit ribosomal RNA
Source: RNAcentral